Molecule: ribosomal RNA, 253 nt
Filed under: uncultured bacterium
Lineage: Bacteria
Description: partial 16S ribosomal RNA
Rfam family: Bacterial small subunit ribosomal RNA
Source: RNAcentral
UACAGAGGGUGCGAGCGUUAAUCGGAAUUACUGGGCGUAAAGCGCACGUAGGUGGCGACGUAAGUCGGGUGUGAAAUCCCCGGGCUCAACCUGGGAACUGCAUUUGUGACUGUAGAGCUGGAGUACGGCAGAGGGGGAUGGAAUUCCGCGUGUGGCAGUGAAAUGCGUAGAUAUGCGGAGGAACACCGAUGGCGAAGGCAAUCCCCUGGGCCUGUACUGACGCUCAUGCACGAAAGCGUGGGGAGCAAACAGG